AACGAACGCUGGCGGCAUGCCUAACACAUGCAAGUCGAACGAGACCUUCGGGUCUAGUGGCGCGCGGGUGCGUAACGCGUGGGAACCUGCCCUUAGGUUCGGAAUAACUCAGAGAAAUUUGAGCUAAUACCGGAUGAUGUCUUCGGACCAAAGAUUUAUCGCCUUUAGAUGGGCCCGCGUUGGAUUAGCUAGUUGGUGGGGUAAAGGCCUACCAAGGCGACGAUCCAUAGCUGGUCUGAGAGGAUGAUCAGCCACACUGGGACUGAGACACGGCCCAGACUCCUACGGGAGGCAGCAGUGGGGAAUAUUGGACAAUGGGCGAAAGCCUGAUCCAGCAAUGCCGCGUGAGUGAUGAAGGCCUUAGGGUUGUAAAGCUCUUUUACCCGAGAUGAUAAUGACAGUAUCGGGAGAAUAAGCUCCGGCUAACUCCGUG
Molecule: ribosomal RNA, 433 nt
Filed under: uncultured bacterium
Lineage: Bacteria
Description: partial 16S ribosomal RNA
Rfam family: Bacterial small subunit ribosomal RNA
Source: RNAcentral